This 261-nucleotide unclassified non-coding RNA is filed under the name Hevea brasiliensis (rubber tree). Lineage: Eukaryota; Viridiplantae; Streptophyta; Magnoliopsida; Malpighiales; Euphorbiaceae. The record is from RNAcentral.
GCUUUGUGAAGGCGUUCAGAGUGGUCUUGAAUCUCCAGCAUAUUGUAGCGGUAGAUAUGCUCCCACAGUUGAGAAAGCUAUGCAUCAUUUCCACCAAUUGCUUCAUGAUAAUCUUAAAAUGUGAGUGUCCUGAUGCCUUAAUCAUAAGUUUCAUGUUCAGUAUCAAGUACAAAUCAUGCACUCACAAGCUUCGACAAGAUCUUCAAGUACUCAGUCCCCCAUUUUUGUAAAUGAAUAUCAAGUACAUCAAGUUUUUGGUCC